CUUUGUAUUCUUCCACAGCUUUCUUGAACUGCAUCAAAAUUAAGAGUUAAAUUGCAUGCAUGUAAUUAAUGGCACUUUGUGUUCUACUCAUUGUUUUGCGGUUCAAUAAAGCUGUGGGAAGAUACAGAUA
Molecule: microRNA precursor, 130 nt
Filed under: Trifolium pratense (red clover)
Lineage: Eukaryota; Viridiplantae; Streptophyta; Magnoliopsida; Fabales; Fabaceae
Description: pre miRNA MIR396
Rfam family: MIR396 microRNA precursor family
Source: Rfam by way of RNAcentral